RNAcentral lists this ribosomal RNA (433 nucleotides) under uncultured Lachnospiraceae bacterium. Its description in RNAcentral is "partial 16S ribosomal RNA". It matches the Rfam family "Bacterial small subunit ribosomal RNA", at positions 341 to 792 of the family's 1533-position model. The record is from RNAcentral. Lineage: Bacteria; Bacillati; Bacillota; Clostridia; Lachnospirales; Lachnospiraceae.
ACGGAAGGCAGCAGUGGGGAAUAUUGCACAAUGGGGGAAACCCUGAUGCAGCGACGCCGCGUGAGUGAAGAAGUAUUUCGGUAUGUAAAGCUCUAUCAGCAGGAAAGAAAAUGACGGUACCUGACUAAGAAGCCCCGGCUAACUACGUGCCAGCAGCCGCGGUAAUACGUAGGGGGCAAGCGUUAUCCGGAUUUACUGGGUGUAAAGGGAGCGUAGACGGCUUUGCAAGUCUGAAGUGAAAGCCCGGGGCUCAACCCCGGAACUGCUUUGGAAACUGUAGAGCUAGAGUGCAGGAGAGGUAAGUGGAAUUCCUAGUGUAGCGGUGAAAUGCGUAGAUAUUAGGAGGAACACCAGUGGCGAAGGCGGCUUACUGACUGUAACUGACGUUGAGGCUCGAAGGCGUGGGGAGCAAACAGGAUUAGAUACCCUGGUA